Molecule: long non-coding RNA, 3186 nt
Organism: Marmota monax (woodchuck)
Lineage: Eukaryota; Metazoa; Chordata; Mammalia; Rodentia; Sciuridae
Exons: 2
Source: RefSeq, a predicted model, not a curated record
UGAGAACUAAUUUAGUGUGUCAAGUUUCAAGCAGCUAGCACAAAUUAUAACUGAUUUGGAGUUCCAACUGAAUCUGUCCCGAUAGGGAAAAUUAAGUGAAACCUAAAAAUUCAAACUGUUCCUGCAAAUGAAUGCUUCAACCUAGAAGAAUAAAAUUUGGAGGGCCAAGUGCGACUGAAGUACUGAUCAUUACCACCAACUAUCACCAAGAUUGGGUGAAAAAAUAUUUGCUGGGAUUUCAGUAAACUCGAGUUCUGUGGAAGCUUGGCAAAUGCUUUCAAAUGAAAGUAUUCUUUCCUUUCAACUACUUAGGCCUACUUCAAAAGGUAACAAAUCUGAGAUAGUGAACUGAGAACUAAUUGAGUGUGUCAAGUUUCAAGCAGCUAGCACAAACUGUGUUUGAUUUAGAGUUCCAACUGCAUCUAUGCCUAUCAGGGGAAACAAAGUGAAAUCUAAAAAUUCAAUGUGUUCCUGCAAAUGAACACCUCAAUGUAGGAGUAUGAAAUUUGUACUUCUACAAAUGUCAAGUUUCAAGCAGCUAGUACAAACCGUGUUUGGUUUAGAGUUUCAACUGCAUUUAUUCUUAUAGGGGAAAACAAAGUGAAAUCUAAAAAUUCAAAGUGUCCGUGCAAACGAAUGCUUCAACCUAGAAGAACAAAAUUUGGAGGGCCAAGUUCAACUGAAGUACUGAUCAUUCCUGCCAAGUAUCAACAAGUUCAUUUGAAAAAAUAGUUGCUGAGAUUUUAGUAAACUUGGAGUUCUGUGGAAGCUUGAAAAACGCUUUCAAAUGAAAGUAUUUUUUCUCAACCUCUGCUUCAGGCUACUUCAAGAGGAAACAGAGCAUAGAGAGUGCAUUGAGAUCUAAUGAGUGUGUCAAGUUUCAAGCAGCUAGCACAAACCGUGUUUGAUUUAGAGUUCCAAAUGAGUGUAUAUUUAUGGGGAAAAUGAAAUGAAACUAAAAAUUCAAACUGUUCCUGCAAACGACCGGUUCAGCCUAGAAGAACAAAAUUUGGGAGGCAAAAUGCCACUGCAAUACCAAUUAUUCCUGCCAAGUAUCAAACAGAUUGGGUGACAAAAUAUUUGAGAUUUCAGUAAACUUGUAGUUCUGUGAAAGCAUUGCGAACACUUUCAAAUAAAAGGGAUUUUUCUUUGAAUAAUGAGUGCUUCUGCUUAGGGCUACUUCAAGAGGAAAGAAAGCAUAGAGAUCACACUGAGAACUAAUUUAGUGUGUCAAGUUUCAAGCAGCUAGCACAAACCUUGUUUGAUUUAGAGUUCCAAUUGCAUCUAUCUGUAUAGGGGAUAACAAAGUGAAACCUAAAAUUUCAAAAUGUAUCUGCAAAGGAACACUUCAACCUAGAAGAACGAAAUUUGAGGGGCCAAGUGCAACUGGAGUUCUGAUAAUUCCUGCCAAGAAUCAACAAAUCAGCCUCCAGGUGUGGGAGAACCAUUGUCACAGAAGUAAGGAUAGCUAAACUGGAGUUCUGGAUAUCAGCUGUUAUGGAUAUGAGCCAAAUCAUCGUCUUUUUGGUUUGUAGAAAUCUCUUUAGUUAGUCUCUCUGGAAUCCAAAUAGGCUGCUGUUCUUCCUGUGGAAACACACAUAGAGACCCCCGGCUCCAGACAAUCACUGGGUCAGGACCUUUCCAUUGUCCAGUCAGAAUAUCUUGCCAAAGUACCUUGGGCUUAUGUACAUUUUUUGGACACAUGUGCCUUUCUGCAUCACUGAGCCCUGAUAAAUCCAAAUUGAAAAAAUUUAAAGUAAAAAUGGUUAUGUUAAGUUUAUCUUUGGGGGAUAUAUACCCUUUCCCAAAUCCUUCUUUUUGUUUUAGUAAGUACAUUUUAAUAGUUUGUUGAGCUCUUUCAACUAUACCUUGUCCCUGUGGAUUAUACGGAAUUCCUGUUAUAUGAGUAAUGCCAAAUGAUGAGCAAAAUUGCUUAAAAGAAGUAGAAGUAUAGAGAGGGCCAUUAUCUGUUUUUAACUGUUUUGGAAUGCCCACAGUGGUAAAGUUUUGUAAACAAUGAGAUAUAAUAUCUUUAGAUUUUUCUCCACCAUGAAGGGAGCCCAUCAAAUAUCCAGAAGAAGUAUCAAAUUUAACAUGCAAAUCUUUUAAUUUUCCAAAUUCUGGCAAAUGUGUGACAUCCAUUUGCCAUAUAUGAUUAGGUAUCAGUCCUCUCGGAUUGAUUCCAAGAUUAACUUGUGGUAAAAAUGUCACACAAUUUUGACAUUGUUUUACUAUUUGUCUAGCUUGUUCCUUAGUUACUUUAAAAUGCUUUUGUAAAGUACUAGCAUUGACAUGGAAGGAUUUAUGAAAAUUUGUUGCUGCUUCUAGUAUUGAAAAAAACAUAUAUGUCAUGUGUAGUUUUAUCUGCUAAAUCAUUGCCUGAACUAAGGGCUCCAGGCAAUCCUAUAUGUGCCCUGAUAUAUCCUAUGAAAAAUGGAUCUUUUCUGUCCCAAAUUAGACUUUGUAUAGUGAAAAACACAGAGAAAACUGCUGGGAGCCAUUAGCCAAGUAGGUAUGACAAUUUCCUUGCCAGCGUACCCCAUGUUGCUGACAUUUUGCAGUGACAUUGAAUGUAGGUGACCUUGCUCAAGGACCAGGGCGGAUUAGGGUGUUCCCGGUUUAAGAUAAUCAGGUUUAGGGCGUUCCCAGUUUAGGUUCCAGGUUUAAGGUUUAAGAUUAUUCCUGCUGGGAAUAGGGCAUAUCCUGCUGCCUGAGUUCCCCUUGAGUUCUCACGGGAUUCAGACAGUAUUUUUUGGGAGACAGAAGCCCAGUGGAUGUGGAUUUGGGCAGAGAACGUGGAUUUCCCCAGAACGUGAUUGUAGACGGCUGGUGUGAGAUCGGGAAUAAAGAGUUGCUGUUUGAAUCUACAAGCUGUGUGGUGGCUCGUAAUUGUGUGCCCAGCCAGACUGCAGCAUUUGUGCCCAGCCAGACUGCGGCAGAAAACAGUAGAGGAAUGGGAAAUCCUACCAGCAUAUUCAAGGGAUAUUAUAGCAUUAACUAUAUAUUGACUGUCAGAAACUAAAUUAAAUACAGAAUCUUUAAACAUCACAAAAGCUUGUAAUACUGCAUUAAGCUCUACCUUUUGAGCUGAUUGUUUCAGUAGUAAAAAUGUAAAAGCUUGAGCAGAGGUAACUACUGCUGCUGUACCAUUAUAUGACCCAUCAGUAAAUAUUAUUGGAGCAUUCA